Small nuclear RNA from Callithrix jacchus (white-tufted-ear marmoset), 164 nucleotides. Its record names the gene U1. It matches the Rfam family "U1 spliceosomal RNA". From Rfam's summary of the family: U1 is a small nuclear RNA (snRNA) component of the spliceosome (involved in pre-mRNA splicing). Its 5' end forms complementary base pairs with the 5' splice junction, thus defining the 5' donor site of an intron. NCBI's taxonomy places the organism in Eukaryota, Metazoa, Chordata, Mammalia, Primates, Cebidae. The record is from Ensembl.
AUACUUACCUGGCAGGGGAGAUACCAUGAUCACGAAGAUGGUUUUCCCAGGGCGAGGCUUAUCCAUUGCACUCCGGAUGUGCUGACCCCUGCGAUUUCCCCAAAUGUGGUAAACUCGACUGCAUAAUUUGUGGUAGUGGGGGACUGCGUUCGCGCUUUCCCCUG